This 89-nucleotide non-coding RNA is filed under the name Staphylococcus nepalensis. RNAcentral describes it as "TPP riboswitch (THI element)". It matches the Rfam family "TPP riboswitch aptamer (THI element)". Rfam says of the family: Vitamin B(1) in its active form thiamin pyrophosphate (TPP) is an essential coenzyme that is synthesised by coupling of pyrimidine and thiazole moieties in bacteria. Lineage: Bacteria; Bacillati; Bacillota; Bacilli; Caryophanales; Staphylococcaceae. The record is from RNAcentral.
CUACUAGGGGAGCCGUUAGGCUGAGAUGAAAUAGUUCAGACCCUUACAACCUGAUUUGGUUAAUACCAACGUAGGAAAGUAGUAUUGUA